UGAGGAAUAUUGCACAAUGGGCGCAAGCCUGAUGCAGCAACGCCGCGUGAGGGAUGACGGCCUUCGGGUUGUAAACCUCUUUUAGCAGGGAAGAAGCGUAAGUGACGGUACCUGCAGAAAAAGCACCGGCUAACUACGUGCCAGCAGCCGCGGUAAUACGUAGGGUGCAAGCGUUGUCCGGAAUUAUUGGGCGUAAAGAGCUCGUAGGCGGCUUGUCGCGUCUGCUGUGAAAACCCGGAGCUCAACUCCGGGCCUGCAGUGGGUACGGGCAGGCUAGAGUGCGGUAGGGGAGAUUGGAAUUCCUGGUGUAGCGGUGGAAUGCGCAGAUAUCAGGAGGAACACCGAUGGCGAAGGCAGAUCUCUGGGCCGCUACUGACGCUGAGGAGCGAAAGCAUGGGGAGCGAACA
Molecule: ribosomal RNA, 407 nt
Filed under: uncultured prokaryote
Description: bacterial SSU rRNA
Rfam family: Bacterial small subunit ribosomal RNA
Source: RNAcentral